Molecule: long non-coding RNA, 375 nt
Filed under: Bos taurus (domestic cattle)
Lineage: Eukaryota; Metazoa; Chordata; Mammalia; Artiodactyla; Bovidae
Description: long non-coding RNA NONBTAT014874
Source: RNAcentral
CUUAAUCUAUAGAAACCCAGAAAGGCAUGAAUUUUAGGUAGAUACACUUUAAUACCUACAUACUGAGCCUAGAACCUGAGUAUUAGAUGUUUGAUUAACUGGGUUUUUGGACAAACAGAAUAAUUAGUACUAUAAAUGCCUGGCAGGAAUGGGGUAAUUGUGUCUAAUUCCCAGACGUGGUAUAGGAUCUGCCAUAAAUACCUUCGUACUUGAAGAGACUCUCUCCACACACUAGUUAUGUUUAAUUUUUUUUUUUCUUUUUGUAGAAAUGCCACCCCUUCUGUCUGCCAUUGACUUGAUUGGCAUCAUUUAUCAGCACAGCAAUGUUUUCCAUACUUGACUAGUAUCAUUAUUUCCCUUCAUGUUGGCAGAAAA